This 569-nucleotide ribosomal RNA is filed under the name Navicula sp. s0020. Its description in RNAcentral is "eukaryotic LSU rRNA". It matches the Rfam family "Eukaryotic large subunit ribosomal RNA", at positions 25 to 663 of the family's 3401-position model. Lineage: Eukaryota; Bacillariophyta; Bacillariophyceae; Naviculales; Naviculaceae. The record is from RNAcentral.
CCGCUGAAAUUUUAAGCAUAUAAUUAAGCGGAGGAAAAGAAACUAACAAGGAUUCCCUCAGUAAGGGCGACUGAAGGGGGAAAAGCUCAACAUGUGAAUCUGCGCCUUGGCGCCGAAUUGUGGUCUGUCGACUCUGGUAUUAUUGGCCCGGCUAAGUCCCUUGGAACAGGGCAGCAUAGAGGGUGAGACUCCCGUCCGCCUGGCCUUUUGAAUCAGAUGUCUCCGAGUCGAGUUGUUUGGGAUUGCAGCUCAAAGCGGGUGGUAAAUUCCAUCUAAAGCUAAAUAUUGGUGGGAGACCGAUAGCGUACAAGUACCGUGAGGGAAAGAUGCAAAGAACUUUGAAAAGAGAGUUAAAGAGUACCUGAAAUUGCUGAAAGGGAAGCGAAGGAAAUCAGUGCUUGCCGAGUCAUAUUUCUCACUUUGCUUGCAGAGUGGGCGCUGUGUCUUGGCGUGUGUCAGGCUUGGUUGGGCUUGUUGGAAUCGCGUGGUGAGAGUUGAUCACUGCAUGUCUGCAAUAAGCUUGACUGAGGUUGACAAAAUGGUUUUCUUUACCCCGUCUUGAACACACG